RNAcentral lists this unclassified non-coding RNA (240 nucleotides) under soil metagenome. RNAcentral's name for it is "partial contains 5.8S ribosomal RNA, internal transcribed spacer 2, and large subunit ribosomal RNA". The record is from RNAcentral.
AACGGUCUAUACCUGCGGUACCUGCGGAAGGAUCAUUAUUGAAUAAACUUGGUUGGGUUGUUGCUGGCCUCUUAGGAAGCAUGUGCACACCUUUCCAUUUUUAAAACCCCCCUGUGCACUUGUUGUAGGCCUGGAUAAGCUCGUCGAGAAAGAUUUUCUCGGUUCUGAGAAACUGCUGCGUUUUUAGAAGCCAGCUUUUCUUGUAUUUUCAGGUCUAUGCUUCAUAAAUACCACUCCAAA